AGGAUUUUAGUUAAAGUAUAAUAAUUAUAUUGCAUAUAAUAGUAAAAGUUUAAAAACUUUAAAUCUUA
Molecule: transfer RNA, 68 nt
Filed under: Rhynchium quinquecinctum
Lineage: Eukaryota; Metazoa; Arthropoda; Insecta; Hymenoptera; Vespidae
Description: tRNA-Ala
Source: RNAcentral